GCGGGCGUGGCGGAAUUGGUAGACGCGCCAGACUUAAAAUCUGUUGGCCGUAAGGCCGUGCCGGUUCGAUUCCGGCCGUCCGUACCA
Molecule: transfer RNA, 87 nt
Filed under: Hirschia baltica ATCC 49814
Lineage: Bacteria; Pseudomonadati; Pseudomonadota; Alphaproteobacteria; Hyphomonadales; Hyphomonadaceae
Also listed under: 1 other name
Description: tRNA-Leu (TAA) (tRNA-Leu-TAA-1-1)
Rfam family: tRNA
About the family: Transfer RNA (tRNA) molecules are approximately 80 nucleotides in length. Their secondary structure includes four short double-helical elements and three loops (D, anti-codon, and T loops).
Source: RNAcentral